RNAcentral lists this ribosomal RNA (700 nucleotides) under uncultured bacterium. RNAcentral describes it as "bacterial SSU rRNA". It matches the Rfam family "Bacterial small subunit ribosomal RNA", at positions 94 to 809 of the family's 1533-position model. The record is from RNAcentral.
AGUGGCGAACGGCGGAGUAAUACAUGAGUAACGUGCCCUUCAGACGGGGAUAUACAGUCGAAAGACUGGGCAAUACCGGAUGAGAUGGCGAGGAGGCAUCUCCUUGUCAUGAAAUGGUUUUUCGCUGAAGGAGCGGCUCAUGACACAUCAGAUAGUUGGUGGGGUAACGGCCUACCAAGUCUACGACGUGUAGGGGGUCUGAGAGGAUGAUCCCCCCGAGUGGGACUGAGACACGGCCCACACACCUACGGGUGGCAGCAGUUGGGAAUCUUGCGCAAUGGGGGAAACCCUGACGCAGCGACACCGCGUGGAGGAUGAAGGAUUUCGGUCUGUAAACUCCUUUUGCUAGGAAAGACUUAGGACGGUACCUAGCGAAUAAGCUCCGGCUAACUACGUGCCAGCAGCCGCGGUAAUACGUAGGGAGCAAGCGUUGUCCGGAUUUACUGGGCGUAAAGGGCGUGUAGGCGGUCUGUUAAGUGUGACGUGAAAUCUUCAGGGCUCAACCCGAAAAUUGCGUCGCAGACUGGCAGACUAGAGGGAAGCAGAGGUUGAUAGAAUUCCUGGUGUAGCGGUGACAUGCGUUGAUAUCAGGAGGAAUACCGAUGGCGAAGGCAGUCAACUGGGCUUUUCCUGACGCUGAGGCGCGAAAGCGUGGGUAGCAAACAGAAUUAGAUACUCUGGUAGUCCACGCCCUAAACGA